ACAAUGACAAAACUAAUCCAAU
RNAcentral lists this small nuclear RNA (22 nucleotides) under Arabidopsis thaliana (thale cress). Its description in RNAcentral is "snRNA_07645". Lineage: Eukaryota; Viridiplantae; Streptophyta; Magnoliopsida; Brassicales; Brassicaceae. The record is from RNAcentral.